Molecule: ribosomal RNA, 465 nt
Filed under: Vreelandella stevensii
Lineage: Bacteria; Pseudomonadati; Pseudomonadota; Gammaproteobacteria; Oceanospirillales; Halomonadaceae
Description: partial 16S ribosomal RNA
Rfam family: Bacterial small subunit ribosomal RNA
Source: RNAcentral
CCUACGGGCGGCAGCAGUGGGGAAUAUUGGACAAUGGGCGAAAGCCUGAUCCAGCCAUGCCGCGUGUGUGAAGAAGGCCUUCGGGUUGUAAAGCACUUUCAGUGGGGAAGAAAGCCUUGGGGCUAAUGCCCUCGAGGAAGGACAUCACCCACAGAAGAAGCACCGGCUAACUCCGUGCCAGCAGCCGCGGUAAUACGGAGGGUGCGAGCGUUAAUCGGAAUUACUGGGCGUAAAGCGCGCGUAGGCGGUCUGAUAAGCCGGUUGUGAAAGCCCCGGGCUCAACCUGGGAACGGCAUCCGGAACUGUCAGGCUAGAGUGCAGGAGAGGAAGGUAGAAUUCCCGGUGUAGCGGUGAAAUGCGUAGAGAUCGGGAGGAAUACCAGUGGCGAAGGCGGCCUUCUGGACUGACACUGACGCUGAGGUGCGAAAGCGUGGGUAGCAAACAGGAUUAGAUACCCUGGUAGUC